GACGAACGCUGGCGGCGUGCCUAACACAUGCAAGUCGAACGGAUCAAUAUAAUGAGUAAUCAGAGUAUUGGUUAGUGGCGGACGGGUGAGUAACGCGUGAGCAACCUGCCUUGUACUGGGGGAUAACGUCGGGAAACCGGCGCUAAUACCGCAUAACACUACGAAGUCACAUGGCUAUGUAGUCAAAACUCCGGUGGUACAAGAUGGGCUCGCGUCCAAUUAGCUAGUUGGUGAGGUAAAGGCCCACCAAGGCGACGAUUGGUAGCCGAACUGAGAGGUUGAUCGGCCACAUUGGGACUGAGACACGGCCCAGACUCCUACGGGUGGCAG
Molecule: ribosomal RNA, 330 nt
Filed under: uncultured Bacillota bacterium
Lineage: Bacteria; Bacillati; Bacillota
Description: bacterial SSU rRNA
Rfam family: Bacterial small subunit ribosomal RNA
Source: RNAcentral